CGGCGGACGGGUGAGUAAUGCCUAGGAAUCUGCCUGGUAUGGGGGACAACGUUUCGAAAGGAACGCUAAUACCGCAUACGUCCUACGGGAGAAAGCAGGGGACCUUCGGGCCUUGCGCUAUCAGAUGAGCCUAGGUCGGAUUAGCUAGUUGGUGAGGUAAUGGCUCACCAAGGCGACGAUCCGUAACUGGUCUGAGAGGAUGAUCAGUCACACUGGAACUGAGACACGGUCCAGACUCCUACGGGAGGCAGUAGCU
This 256-nucleotide ribosomal RNA is filed under the name uncultured Pseudomonas sp. RNAcentral describes it as "partial 16S ribosomal RNA". It matches the Rfam family "Bacterial small subunit ribosomal RNA", at positions 96 to 355 of the family's 1533-position model. Lineage: Bacteria; Pseudomonadati; Pseudomonadota; Gammaproteobacteria; Pseudomonadales; Pseudomonadaceae. The record is from RNAcentral.